GCCGAGGUGGCUGAGUGGUAAGGCGCAGGCCUGGAAAGCCUGUGUUCCGCAAGGGACUCAAGGGUUCAAAUCCCUUCCUCGGCG
This 84-nucleotide transfer RNA is filed under the name Methanobacteriota archaeon. RNAcentral describes it as "Euryarchaeota archaeon tRNA-Ser". It matches the Rfam family "tRNA". From Rfam's summary of the family: Transfer RNA (tRNA) molecules are approximately 80 nucleotides in length. Their secondary structure includes four short double-helical elements and three loops (D, anti-codon, and T loops). Further hydrogen bonds mediate the characteristic L-shaped molecular structure. tRNAs have two regions of fundamental functional importance: the anti-codon, which is responsible for specific mRNA codon recognition, and the 3' end, to which the tRNAs corresponding amino acid is attached (by aminoacyl-tRNA synthetases). tRNAs cope with the degeneracy of the genetic code in two manners: having more than one tRNA (with a specific anti-codon) for a particular amino acid; and 'wobble' base-pairing, i.e. permitting non-standard base-pairing at the 3rd anti-codon position. The record is from RNAcentral. Lineage: Archaea; Methanobacteriati; Methanobacteriota. RNAcentral also lists the same sequence under 4 other names.